AGAAAGGAGAGAGAGUUUGUGACAGGACGAGAAAGGAGAGAGAUGUUGUGACAGGACGAGAAAGGAGAGAGAUGUUGUGACAGGACGAGAAAGGAGAGAGAUGUUGUGACAGGACGAGAAAGGAGAGAGAUGUUGUGACAGGACGAGAAAGGAGAGAGAUGUUGUGACAGGACGAGAAAGGAGAGAGAUGUUGUGACAGGACGAGAAAGGAGAGAGAUGUUGUGACAGGACGAGAAAGGAGAGAGAUGUUGUGACAGGACGAGAAAGGAGAGAGAUGUUGUGACAGGACGAGAAAGGAGAGAGAUGUUGUGACAGGACGAGAAAGGAGAGAGAUGUUGUGACAGGACGAGAAAGGAGAGAGAUGUUGUGACAGGACGAGAAAGGAGAGAGAUGUUGUGACAGGACGAGAAAGGAGAGAGAUGUUGUGACAGGACGAGAAAGGAGAGAGGUGUUGUGACGGGGUGAAAAAUACAAAGAAGCUGGAAUGUUUUAAUGUGUAUAAUAGUUUGUCUUGGACCUUGUCUCUUCCCCCCCGUUCCUGUCCUUAAGGAUCAACGUGUGACCAACUAGUGGUGGAAGAGACAGUGGCAGCCAUUUUUCAAAAUGGACUCAGGGGGGAAAAAUAGGAAAUGGAUGAAUGAAGGAAUUCAAUUCAAUUCAAUUCAAUUCAAUACAACUUCAUUUGUAGAGCAACUUAGUAAUUUAAUGGGAUGGGUUGAUGGACAGAUGGACGGAGGUGUGAAAAGGGGCGUGUCUCUGGUUGGAACACCCGAAGGGACCGGUUGCUACAGUUACACACAGUUGCUGCUGUUCUCUUCUGGAAGCCAUUUUGUAUUUUUUAUUUUUUUCCCCCAAGAGGUGGCUCGUUACCACGGCAACAACUUCUACUCGGUCACCGGAUACAUUCACUGCACUGUUCUUGCAACUGGUAAUUUUUUCACGAGGUGGCUCGUUACCACGGCAACGAGCUGCGGUUAAGCGUUUUUUUUUUUAACGACGGGAAUGGAUGGUUGGGUCAGAUUGUAUCUAAUCGGGCAGAAACACCCGGAGGGCUGAAAUCAAACGAGGAAGUGGGUAAAUCUGUAAACUGCAUUAACCUGAAUGUAUUUCCACUGGCGCUGUCGUUUCUCAGUGGGAAACGGUUCACAAAUAGCCAGAGUGGAAACGGUUCACAAAUAGUGAAUAGUGGUCUUUUUAAAACGGAGAUAACUGAAGGAAGACCCCAGGGAAUCAGGGUGAAUGAAGAUUUCAGAGGAACAGCCCUUUCAAAUAUAGUAUUAAGAGUUGUGUAUUUAACUCUUAGGAACACACUGAUGGCUUGUGUAUGUAGAAUAUGUAGAAUAUCUAUGUAUCUAUAUAGUACUACAACUAUGUAUGUAUGUAUGUAUGUAUGUAUGUAUGUAUGUAUGUAUGUAUGUAUGUAUGUAUGUAUGUAUGUAUGUAUGUAUGUAUGUAUGUAUGUAUGUAUGUAUGUAUGUACAGUGCCUUGCGAAAGUAUUCGGCCCCCUUGAACUUUGCAACCUUUUGCCACAUUUCAGGCUUCAAACAUAAAGAUAUAAAACUGUAUUUUUUUGUGAAGAAUCAAAAACAAGUGGGACACAAUCACUUAUAAUAAUUAUUAUUAUUAUAAGUGGAACGACAUUUAUUGGAUAUUUCAAACUUUUUUAACAAAUCAAAAACUGAAAAAUUGGGCGUGCAAAAUUAUUCAGCUGUCCGUUAGCCCCGAGUCUCAGUUUCACUGUCGGUUCCACUCAGUCACAGCUUAGGUUUGUGUUUUGUAGUUUUGGCCCCGUUCACACUCAGGUUCUGCCAACUGAUCUACAACACAUUGGACACAAUGGUUGUGAUCUGAUUUGUUUUUUUGUGAUGCAAUGAAGAGUGUGUUGCAGAUCCAUUGAGCGGUGUCUCCACACGCUUGUGUAGUUUAUUUCUGUGCAGAAAAACUCUGAUACAACUGGCAUCCCAACCGUUGUGCCAAAUGUGUUGUACGUCAGUUGUAUACGGCGCCACUGUCACGACUUCCGCCGAAGUCGGUCUCUCCUAGUUCGGGCGGCGUUCGACGUCACCGGCCUUCUAGCCAUCGCCGAUCCACCUUUUUUGAUUUUCCAUUUGUUUUGUCUUGUCUUCCCUCACACCUGGUUUCAAUUCCAUCAAUUACAUGUUGUGUAUUUAACCCUCUGUCCCCCCCACCCCAUGUCCUUGUCCGGUAUUGUUGAAUGUAAGAGUUUGUGCACGUUAUGUCUGGUGUGCGAAGGGUUUCGUCCCCGUUGUAUUUAUUUAUUGUUUUUGUUCACUGUGAUUUGUAUAAUUAAACUACUCCAUUGGAACACA
Long non-coding RNA from Oncorhynchus keta (chum salmon), 2331 nucleotides. RefSeq lists it as uncharacterized. The record is from RefSeq and is a predicted model, not a curated record. NCBI's taxonomy places the organism in Eukaryota, Metazoa, Chordata, Actinopteri, Salmoniformes, Salmonidae. The transcript has 3 exons.